GAUGAACGCUGGCGGCGUGCCUAAUACAUGCAAGUCGAGCGAACGGACGAGAAGCUUGCUUUUCUGAUGUUAGCGGCGGACGGGUGAGUAACACGUGGAUAACCUACCUAUAAGACUGGGAUAACUUCGGGAAACCGGAGCUAAUACCGGAUAACAUUUUGAACCGCAUGGUUCAAAAGUGAAAGACGGUCUUGCUGUCACUUAUAGAUGGAUCCGCGCUGCAUUAGCUAGUUGGUAAGGUAACGGCUUACCAAGGCAACGAUGCAUAGCCGACCUGAGAGGGUGAUCGGCCACACUGGAGCUGAGACACGGUCCAGACUCCUACGGGAGGCAGCAGUAGGGAAUCUUCCGCAAUGGGCGAAAGCCUGACGGAGCAACGCCGCGUGAGUGAUGAAGGUCUUCGGAUCGUAAAACUCUGUUAUUAGGGAAGAACAUAUGUGUAAGUAACUGUGCACAUCUUGACGGUACCUAAUCAGAAAGCCACGGCUAACUACGUG
This 497-nucleotide ribosomal RNA is filed under the name uncultured bacterium. Its description in RNAcentral is "partial 16S ribosomal RNA". It matches the Rfam family "Bacterial small subunit ribosomal RNA", at positions 28 to 507 of the family's 1533-position model. The record is from RNAcentral.